GGAUAGCCACCAAAACUUCUGUUUAAAGACCUCCAGGGAAGGUGAGGCAGGUGAAUCUGAGAGAGAGAAGAAGAAAGAAAGAAAGAAAGAAGAAAGAAAGAAAGAAAGAAAGAAAGAAAGAAAGAAAGAAAGAAAGAAAGAAAGGCAGAGACAGAGAUAGAGAGAAGCCCUCAAAAGGGACAAACAUGCCUAAUUUUUUUUAUAAAAUUCUGUCCAUUAAAAAAACCACACAAAUGGUAAGAGCACUCAGCACUAAAUCUCCUGGACCUCUAUGCCUGCAACUUGACAGAGGUUAACCAGUAUGAUGGGGCUACCUUGUGAAUGCCAAUUUUAUUCACAUCUGCUAAAAUGCAGAGCCCGGGGGGGGGGGAGUUAAUAGAUUUUUAAAAUUCCCAAUAGCUAAUGUGGGUGGGUAGAUAUAACAAAGCCAGCUCAGAUGCAUCUCAUCCCAUCAAGCAGCCUAUGAAUUGCCUUGGAGUGAGAUGGGCUGUUUUCUGAAGCACUGAAUUGGAGUCUGGAUAUAAAAGAUGAAGAGGGAUUUGUGUUGUGUACAUUGAGGCAAAGGCCAGCUGUGUCCCUGAGCUCUGCCCUUUCUGGUAGCAGAGAGAACUUUGCAGCUGGAAAGGCCAGCUAAGAUUAGCAGCACUGCCUGGGUGAAGAGACUUUGGUUCUACCCCUACGUCUUUUUCAAAGGAUGAGACUAGGCGGUUGUUGUGGCCUGCCCUCUUUUCCCCAAAAAUGGUUGUAUGCUGGUUUAGAUCUCGACUCUCAGCAAGCCUGGCCCAAGUGUAUGUUAGGUAAGCUGCUUUGUUAAAUAACAUUAUCUGAUUUUUAGUGGUGCGUCUGAUGGAAAACAACAUGGUAAUUUUGGGAUGCUGCUGAUUAGAUGAAAAUGAUAUUGCAUCAAAGUUGCUGCUGAUUUAUUAUGGAAAAACGGCAAGCGGAGCGCAAUUCUCCACUAGGAUGCUUAAUUAAAGCUCCCUCCAUAAAAAAACCCCUGUAUCCUCCAAGGCCCUGUAUCUUUGCCGGGUGUGAAAAGAACAAAGGGUGAUGGGUAUCUUCUUUGUCAAAGUGCCACGCGACAUGUUUAUUGCAGCCCAUUCUGAACCCCUCAGUGCAAAAGCAGCUGCCCCAUCACACACCCUCAGGGCUGUCCAGAGUGGACCAAGAGGACCUGGCAGCUGCGCUGAGGGCAUUUAGAGGGGGAUGAUGACGGGCUGCAUGCCUUUAUUGGUUCAAAUGAGGAGAUCCGGGAGGAGACUUGUCUGGGAAGAAUAGGAAGCUGAUGGGGGCCAGCAUUUUUGUCAAGGGUUGUUGAACCAUCACCUUGGGGUGUGUCACUCUCAUCACCCGCUCCCAAAGAAGCUGAGUCUCUUAGCAAUAAUUCAUCUGAAACAGAAAAACAGGAGAAUUUGAAAUGUCCCUGUGUGGCGAAGAAGGGGAUUCUGAGAAUCUGCAAGAAGGGCUCCUUAAAAGCUACCCUGGGCGAGCAGAGAAGUUGCCUCCAGCUUGCAGGACUUACUGAGAUGAUGGCAAGACUGGUGAUUUGGCACAGUGGCAUAGUUGGCUGUCCACUUGAAUAUUACCAUUGAAGACAACCUCCCAUUUUUAUACAAAAAGUGUGUGUGUGUAUGCUUAUAUUGUGCGCUACUCAAAUACAAUAGCUUGCUUGGACUGUGCUGCAGCUGCAACCCUGCCCUCCUUGGUGAGUACUUUGGAGAAGGCUUGCGUCUUCUGUAUCUGGGAUACCCCCUGUAGCUCCUGAGGGCAUUCCCUAGAUGGAAUGCAACAGAGACCACUAUCUCUACCACUCUGAAAUUUGGCAGGCUUCAUCCCCUAUAAUUGUUUGUGAUUUGCAUCCAACUCAGCCAGAAAAUGAAAAAGUUUUGGAUUUCCCCUUUGUUUUUAAAAAUAAAACUUUAUAAGGCACUCCACAUGAAAAUCUCUAGAUCUAUCUCCUUUCAGCCUUAAUCCACCCCAAAGGGGCUGAGAUACCUGCUGAUAUCAUCCACUUCUGUGAAAAAGAGGAAAAACCACGUUAUAGCUGUUUUUUAUUUCCUCAUUGUAGUGAAUGGGAGGGCGAGAGAUUCGUUUUUAACAGAUCUAAUUCAGUCCUGAAUAACGAGUCAAAUUGGAAUGACACAGAGCAGUCAUGAAACAGACUGGGCUGCUUUCCAAAGGUACAGGUACAAGUUGGAUCUUGUGGCUGAUGCACACACCUCUGCUGUGCACCUUGGGAUGCAUAUCUUAGCUACCAUCUGCAAGCUGAUAACUAGUUCUCAGUCAGUCUCCAACACUAUAUUCUCAAACAGCACAAUCCCGUACACAUUUAUGUAGAAAUCCAUCCUAUGUGGCCAACUCACAGGGAAAGCCUAAUUAAGAUAAUAACGGUUGCAAUCCUUUGGUCCCUGGGAGGAUGUCCCAGUGGCCAUAUCACAUACUGGAUCUCCCUCUCCAGUGUUGGAGAGAGAGCACUCUGGUGUUGCUACACAUUUGAAUCAAGUUAGGCACGGCUUGGACAAGGUAUAUAUGUACGAGGUAUGCUCUUCCUUUAAUGCUUCUAGUCAGGCUUCUAAGUACAAAUGCUGUUAUCUCUCCAUUAUAAAUUGCCUUUACAUUA
Podarcis muralis (Common wall lizard) is the source of this 2620-nucleotide long non-coding RNA. RefSeq lists it as uncharacterized. The record is from RefSeq and is a predicted model, not a curated record. Lineage: Eukaryota; Metazoa; Chordata; Lepidosauria; Squamata; Lacertidae.